UGGGGAAUAUUGCACAAUGGGGGAAACCCUGAUGCAGCGACGCCGCGUGAACGAAGAAGGUAUUCGUAUCGUAAAGUUCUGUCCUAGGGGAAGAUAAUGACAGUACCAUAGAAGAAAGCUCCGGCUAAAUACGUGCCAGCAGCCGCGGUAAUACGUAUGGAGCGAGCGUUGUCCGGAAUUAUUGGGCGUAAAGGGUACGCAGGCGGUUUAAUAAGUCGAAUGUUAAAGAUCGGGGCUCAACCCCGCAAAGCAUUGGAAACUGAUAAACUUGAGUAGUGGAGAGGAAAGUGGAAUUCCUAGUGUAGUGGUGAAAUACGUAGAUAUUAUGAGGAAUACCAGUAGCGAAGGCGACUUUCUGGACACAAACUGACGCUGAGGUACGAAAGCGUGGGGAGCAAACAGG
Molecule: ribosomal RNA, 403 nt
Filed under: bacterium
Lineage: Bacteria
Description: partial 16S ribosomal RNA
Rfam family: Bacterial small subunit ribosomal RNA
Source: RNAcentral